AGGCAGCAGUAGGGAAUCUUCCACAAUGGGCGAAAGCCUGAUGGAGCAACGCCGCGUGAGUGAAGAAGGUUUUCGGAUCGUAAAGCUCUGUUGUUGGUGAAGAAGGAUAGAGGUAGUAACUGGCCCCUAUUUGACGGUAAUCAACCAGAAAGUCACGGCUAACUACGUGCC
RNAcentral lists this ribosomal RNA (171 nucleotides) under uncultured bacterium. Its description in RNAcentral is "partial 16S ribosomal RNA". It matches the Rfam family "Bacterial small subunit ribosomal RNA", at positions 346 to 509 of the family's 1533-position model. The record is from RNAcentral.